GUUUGCGGGCUUUUCAGGCACCUGCCUUUUAAGCAGGGUGUCCGGGGUUCGAAUCCCCGCUGGAGCACCA
Molecule: transfer RNA, 70 nt
Filed under: Oscillospiraceae bacterium
Lineage: Bacteria; Bacillati; Bacillota; Clostridia; Eubacteriales; Oscillospiraceae
Description: tRNA-Lys
Rfam family: tRNA
About the family: Transfer RNA (tRNA) molecules are approximately 80 nucleotides in length. Their secondary structure includes four short double-helical elements and three loops (D, anti-codon, and T loops).
Source: RNAcentral